UGCGGCUUUGACGGGUGGUGAUCCGCGACCUGCCGGGUCACGAAAUACGGUUCCAGCCCGUGGGCUUCGA
Molecule: transfer RNA, 70 nt
Filed under: Ruegeria sp. THAF33
Lineage: Bacteria; Pseudomonadati; Pseudomonadota; Alphaproteobacteria; Rhodobacterales; Roseobacteraceae
Description: tRNA-Gly
Source: RNAcentral